CAGAGGUCUCAAGCGUUGUUCGGAUUCAUUGGGCGUAAAGGGUGCGUAGGCGGCGCGGUAAGUCGGGUGUGAAAUUUCGAGGCUUAACUUCGAAACUGCAUUCGAUACUGCCGUGCUCGAGGACUGGAGAGGAGACUGGAAUUUACGGUGUAGCGGUGAAAUGCGUAGAUAUCGUAAGGAAGACCAGUGGCGAAGGCGGGUCUCUGGACAGUUCCUGACGCUGAGGCACGAAGGCCAGGGGAGCAAACGGGAUUAGAUACCCCGGUAGUCCUGGCAAUAAACGGUGCACGUUUGGUGUGGGAGGAUUCGACCCCUUCUGCGCCGGAGCUAACGCGUUAAACGUGCCGCCUGGGGAGUACGGUCGCAAGAUUA
Molecule: ribosomal RNA, 372 nt
Filed under: uncultured organism
Description: bacterial SSU rRNA
Rfam family: Bacterial small subunit ribosomal RNA
Source: RNAcentral